Molecule: ribosomal RNA, 458 nt
Filed under: uncultured bacterium
Lineage: Bacteria
Description: partial 16S ribosomal RNA
Rfam family: Bacterial small subunit ribosomal RNA
Source: RNAcentral
CUACGGGAGGCAGCAGUGAGGAAUAUUGGUCAAUGGACGGAAGUCUGAACCAGCCAAGUCGCGUGCAGGAAGACUGCCCUAUGGGUUGUAAACUGCUUUUGUAUGAGGGUAAAGUGCGUUACGUGUAGCGUUUUGCAAGUAUCAUACGAAUAAGGAUCGGCUAACUCCGUGCCAGCAGCCGCGGUAAUACGGAGGAUCCGAGCGUUAUCCGGAUUUAUUGGGUUUAAAGGGUGCGUAGGCGGGAUUUAAGUCAGUGGUGAAAGUUUGCAGCUCAACUGUAAAAUUGCCAUUGAAACUGAAGUUCUUGAGUGCAAAUGAGGUAUGCGGAAUGUGUAGUGUAGCGGUGAAAUGCAUAGAUAUUACACAGAACACCGAUUGCGAAGGCAGCAUACUGGGAUGUAACUGACGCUGAGGCACGAAAGCGUGGGUAGCGAACAGGAUUAGAUACCCUUGUAGUC